Molecule: long non-coding RNA, 801 nt
Organism: Sus scrofa (pig)
Lineage: Eukaryota; Metazoa; Chordata; Mammalia; Artiodactyla; Suidae
Source: RefSeq, a predicted model, not a curated record
CUCCCCCUGCCCGCCCUUCUCUCUCUUCCCUUAGGUGGGACAAGAUGGCUUGAAUAGGCUGGAGUUGGGUAUUUCCCUUUUCCCACGUGGAAGGCUGCGGCCGACCACUCUGCGUUAGUUUCCUUCCCAGAGUCAGCUGGGCUCUGGUUACACCCUGGCAGGUUGGCUCUGGUUAAUUCCUUUCACCUGAAGACAGGCCUUAUUGAGAUCAGCGUGCUCCGCCCUGUUUCAAAAUGGCUCCUGUUUUCUUCUCGUCAGAAGCGUGAGGGGAUUUUUCUCCAGUAUUUGCUAUGCAAACCUGUGCAAGUUCCUAAAGAUUUGGAUCAAGAUAUACCACUAGUAGAAUUUAUACAUUAACAAAAACUAAAUGAUGUUAAGACCAGAACUAUGUCAGAUACCAGAUAAAUGGCAACAAAAGCAGCUGUGAGAGACUAACAGAGUCAGGAGUACCUUCUGGAUGGAUGACCUGGACAACCUGUGGUUCAUCUAUACAAUGGAGUACUACUCAGCAAUGGAAAGAAAUUAAGAGAUCAAGCCAUGAAAAUACAUGAAGGAACUUGAAACAUAUUGCUAAGCGAAAGAAACCAAUCUGAAACAGUUAUAUACUGUGUGAUUCCACUAUAUGAUAUUCUGGAAAAGGUAAAACUAUGGAGAAAGUAAAAAACUAUCAGUAGUUACCAUGGUUUCCAAGGGAGGGAGGGAUCAAUAAAUAGGGCAGAGAGGAUUUUUUGAGCAGUAACCAAUUAUUCUAUAGGAUAGUGUAACGGAUACUUGCCAUUUUAAAUUUUGUCAAAGCCCAUA